Canis lupus familiaris (dog) is the source of this 2277-nucleotide long non-coding RNA. RefSeq lists it as uncharacterized. The transcript is spliced from 2 exons. NCBI's taxonomy places the organism in Eukaryota, Metazoa, Chordata, Mammalia, Carnivora, Canidae. The record is from RefSeq and is a predicted model, not a curated record.
GUAUCCCUGCCAACCACAUGUGGGGACAAAGGAGAAAGGCAAAGCAGUCCGGGACCAGGCUGGAGGGAGGUGCUCAGCCACGUGGCUAUCCAGCAGACCGUCAGCCUGGUAGGGCUGGGUCUCUGCUCCCGCAACACCCCACUGGGCACGGUGGGAGGUCAGCGCUGCCCACAAGGGCCUGUUGACACUCGGAGGCUAGUGUAGGGGAGGCCACCGUGGCAGCUCACAGAUUCCGCUGAGCUGCAGGCUCACCUGCUGUACCUCUUUGGCUCCCUUGGGUGCGAGCAGCUUCAAGGAAGCACAACUUCCACAGGCCCCCCCUGUCCUGAACUUGGCGUCUAGAGGAAGCAAGAAACAAAGGUGGGUGCCAGUUUAUCUCCACUGGUUCCAGGUUGGCCUUGCUCUCUCACUUCACGCCUGGCUUUCCUUCCCGACCGCUCCUUGCUGCCUCAAGGCCCAGCACCAUGCAGAGGCAACGCCCACAAAGACAAGACGGCUGAGCCGGCUCCCGCAGCCAGAGCUGAUCUUUGAACAGAGGAGACGCUGAGCUGUAACGAAACACAAGCAGAGGAAGCGCGCCUGCCUCUGUGGGGUCGGUCAGCAGCAGCCCACCUCGUGCUCCUACCUCUUCCCAAAAUUCCUGCAGCUGUUACCUCCUGACACGCAUGGGUCUGUGGCCUUGUCACCUCCCACACCUGCAGGAGGUUUUCCCAGGCAGGCCCCACCACAAGCGGUGUGGGAGGCAGGUGCCCUCAAGGAGACACACCUCACAGGGCACCUGGGAGGAGCACCAUUUAACUUGCACUGGAUCCACAAAUAAAAAUUGCACACACUUUUGGCAGACACUUUUUUUAUUCAGGAAAUACAUCUUCCCUACUGGUUCCAGCCGCUGCCAGGAAUGAUGAUGUGAUGGGAAGCACUCUCACUGAACACCCAGUGGGAGAACGGAGGAGCAGCAUUGCUUCCUGCCUUUUAGAGUGUCACCUCACACAGCAGGGCCCAGCAGAGGAGGGGCUGAGGGGAGCGAGCCACCUGUUGCGGUCACCCCUGCAGGCAGGUGCUUCCCAUGGCAGGGUCAGUGGGCCAACUUUCCAUAGUCAGACAUCUUAUUUCCUCUAAUCGUAUUUUAAGAAAUCGGCUCUUCCACGCUAAGAUUUACAAUAAAAAUAAAAUAAUUUGCUCUGUAAACUAUAGUAGAAAGUUAAGUGUCUUAAAAACUAUCUUCCAUACAACGGAAAAAGGCUUCUGUGUUCUGUUCUGGGUGAAAGGAGACCCAGGUGUGCGGAGAGAAGCCGCAUUGGCAUGUUGCUGGAGACAUGUGGAAGCACUUCUUGGCCUCAGAGGCUUGGAAAGAGGACGGAGCCACCUUCUUCCCUUCAGGCUUGCCGUCCAGCUUUCCUCUCCCUGUGGGCUCUUCCAAGAUGCUCACGGCUAUUCUGCAGUUGCCUGGUCCUUGGCGGCGGCAACCAGCUCUGCCAGGGCCGGGAAGCUCUUUAUGUCCUUUGUUGCCAGGCCCAUCUUUUGUAUCUGCAAAGGCCACGAAAGUGAAUAAAAGCACUGUGGUCUCAGCUGAAUACGAACAAAAGGCCCUUAUGAAGAACACAAGAAUAACUACCACCCCCACCCUCCAAGAAAUCAGAAAAAGGCAGCUCCCCAAAGAAUGGCAGAGUAUUUUUUCCCUUCACAGCAAAGGAUUUACUCAUUAUAAAGCUUCACUUUUUUGGGUUAAAGUUAGCAUUCUAUGAAGCCAGCAUGUUCAUUUAUCUAAGUCCAUCAAAUCAGGCUUACCCAGGGUAAGAGCCUCUUUUGUGAACUGGAAAAGAAAAUUCACACAAAAAGAAUAAUAAAGUAAACUAUUUGUUAAGCAGAGAGUUUUUCCAAAAAGCAAUGGCCUGCGCUUUUACUUUCUUCACAUGCCAUCAACAACCUUUUCUCAGAAUCUGAUGAAUUGCGGACGUUGUGGCAGAGAACCAGAGUGAAUUACUGAGGCAACCGAGUUGUGGCAUCCCAUGUUCCCACUGUUGUUAACAACGGCAACAAACCCCACACACUCACAGGAAAAUCUGGGAAAAUCUACACCAAGUACUUCACAUCUGUGGGCAUGUUGACGCUCAUCUGGGGACCAGGACCACAGGGUACCAUUUCUUUUCAUCCCCCUGCUUCCACCCACCCCGCCUGUGUCUGGUUUCUUUGUUUCUCAUUUUGCUGUAGCAAGCUGUCUUGUUUGUAAAAAAGACUGUAAGUUUCCCUUGUGAAAUAAAGAAAUGGAGCAAUGGA